Molecule: transfer RNA, 65 nt
Filed under: Halidaya aurea
Lineage: Eukaryota; Metazoa; Arthropoda; Insecta; Diptera; Tachinidae
Description: tRNA-Phe
Source: RNAcentral
AUUUAAAUAGCUUAAUUUAGAGUAUUACGUUGAAGUUGUAAGGGUGAUUAUUAAAUCUUUAAAUG